This 429-nucleotide ribosomal RNA is filed under the name uncultured archaeon. Its description in RNAcentral is "bacterial SSU rRNA". It matches the Rfam family "Archaeal small subunit ribosomal RNA", at positions 474 to 903 of the family's 1478-position model. The record is from RNAcentral.
UACCAGCUCCCCGAGUGGUGGGGACGAUUAUUGGGCUUAAAGCGUCCGUAGCCGGCUUGGCAAGUCUUUCGUUAAAUCCAGCGGCUUAACCGUUGGGCUGCGGGAGAUACUGUCAGGCUAGGGGGCGGAAGAGGCCGACGGUAUUCUCGGGGUAGGGGUGAAAUCCUAUAAUCCCGGGAAGACCACCAGUGGCGAAGGCGGUCGGCUAGUACGCGCUCGACGGUGAGGGACGAAAGCUGGGGGAGCGAACCGGAUUAGAUACCCGGGUAGUCCCAGCUGUAAACGAUGCGAGCUAGGUGUUGGGGCGGCUACGUGCCGCUUCGGUGCCGCAGGGAAGCCAUUAAGCUCGCCGCCUGGGAAGUACGGCCGCAAGGCUGAAACUUAAAGGAAUUGGCGGGGGAGCACUACAAGGCGUGAAGCUUGCGGUUC